AUGACUCACGGCGGUUGGCAGGGCUCUGACGAGGCUGGCCCCGGCCCGCGCUCCAGCCCGCAGCAGAUGCCUGCCCGGCCCUCCCUUCCCUCGCCGGCCAAACCCGCCCGGAGCCCCGGGGCUGCGGGAGCGCCCUCCGCCUCCGCGGGACCCGAGCGGCCGGGACUCGGCCCGCGCCUCCCGCCCGGCCCGCACCACCCUCGGCUCGCGCGGCCGCCUCUCCCCCCUCCUCCUCCCGCCCCCCGCCGCCUCUGCGGUCCCGGCCGGGCACACUCCGGAAAGUUGCUAGGGCCGCGGAGGCGGGAGGGGAGGAAGGGAGGAGAGAGGCGGAGGCGUGGACCAAGCGGGCAGCAACCGGGCCCGCCAGGGAGCGAGGAGCGUGUGAAACCCGUCAAUCCUGUUUGCCAUUUCCCCGUGGAUUUCCGAGGAGAGGUUCUGCACGAUGCCCCCAGGCAAACGGAGAUGAGAAACAGCUGUGUUUGCAGGACCCGAGCAGUUCUUCUCCCUCGCCGCCCGCCCCGCCCGUUCCCGCCGGAGCUGUGUGUGUGUAGUGUAUCAAAAAAGCAACCUUGGUCGGACUGCAACUGGAAUUGGCAACUCUUUCUGGUGAUCCUCCGACUGUGA
Molecule: long non-coding RNA, 624 nt
Filed under: Bos grunniens (domestic yak)
Lineage: Eukaryota; Metazoa; Chordata; Mammalia; Artiodactyla; Bovidae
Description: lncRNA (ENSBGRG00000023100.1)
Source: RNAcentral